Molecule: long non-coding RNA, 1166 nt
Organism: Eurytemora carolleeae
Lineage: Eukaryota; Metazoa; Arthropoda; Copepoda; Calanoida; Temoridae
Exons: 12
Source: RefSeq, a predicted model, not a curated record
AUAUUGACUGAAAGUAACAAAUAUUUUUUCAGGAAUUGCUGUGCUGUGUACCAUUUCUGACGAAUGCUGAUAAUAUUGAGGUUUUCCUACACCUGUUCUUGGUUACACUUUCAAUCUUGACUUUGAAUUUAUGAAGGCUAGAGUGUGCUUUGUGUUCAAAAUGUUUUUCUUUCAGUGCAUUUAAAUAAGGUAGGUGAAUAUAAAAAGGAAUGCAAGAUAUAUUAAUUAAAAGGAAUGCAAGAUAAAUUAAUAAUAGACAUUUCUACCUGGCCUGAAACUGUAAAAUGUAUCACUUUGAAAGUAACUAAUAGGAUGAAAACGCGUGUGCAAAGCUUCGGAAAUAUAUGAAGACGUAUCAGUGUAGCACUGAAUCUUAAUACUUACUAGGAAGACUUCAUUUAUGUUGAUAGAGAAUUUAAAGUUUCUUUUCUAGGAUUUUGUUGUAAACUAUGAGCUGAUGGAGCGUGCUGGGGAACAUGCUGGAUGAUUUAUCAGGCGCUCCCGAAAACCAAUCCUUAAAUCACCGAAACUGUUAAAUCACCGUCGGUAGAUAGAUUGAGAUAUGGGUGUCGAGAGAUACAAUUCUCAAUACUGUCCAAUGGGAGUAGAUUGUUGCAUUGCUGAAAUUGUCUGAAACUUAAAAGGAUCCUGAAUUAGCUCACUGAUCUUUGCAAGUCUCUUUAAUGUUGGUUUUACAAGAUUCUGCAUCAUGUGGGUGGAUGUAAAUUCGCACUAUUUCAACUUCAAGACUAGAUUUGAGAUAGGAGUUUGCUGCUAAAUGUUUUGGCAAUGAUGAGGAAAUUCAGGACAUGAGUGAAGGAGGAAAUCAGAAAAGAGACUAAAAUCUUUUAGGAUCUUUGCACCUCCGGAACCCCUUUCGUCAUCUUUUGCGGCAUCAACUUCUACCUCAGCUUCAUCCAUUCCAGCUCCUCCAUCUUACAAGGUAGUGGCGCUGAGAUAAUCACACCUGCAUUCACGGGGUUUAGAUUUCUCGUUAACGCUUCCGGAGGUGACACUGAUCUUCCAAGACUAGGAUUUUAUCAGCUUUUUUAUGAUCUGAGUUCUUGGAUAUGUUCUAUGCUGGGAUAUUUAUAAUUCUGCUGGUUGAUAUUGUUAUUCAUCUAAAUAAAUGUGUAAUUUAACAACCAAAUAUAAUUUAUUGAGAA